CAAUAUUAAAAAAAAUGCAUUUUUUUUCAACAACAAUACAACUAAGUGUGCUUACAUCUCCACUAAUACACCGUUAACCUUAAAGAGAUACUAGAUACAUUUAAAUAAGCCACAACUAGUUGUGCCAGACUUAUAUGAGCUUAAAUGAGUAAAAACAUUACUCUAACAAGGAACACCAUAGCAUCAAACCCACAAAUUCACACCACAUGAUGUGAAAAUUAUGUUGACACACAAAUUAACCCUCUUUUUAUCGAUUGUAGUAAGUAUGUAAGUAGGGAUCGUUCUAGGCCGGGGAUUAGGAGGGAUUGCUAAAUCACUUGAAAACUGACUCAAAUACGUAAAAACAAGUUUAAAACACUAAACUAGACUCAAAGAAUGCAAAACUAAACUUUAAAACACCAAAACAAACAAAAAGACUCAAAACAGCAAACAAACACUCAAAACUGCCUUAAAACACUUUCUGGGUAGUUUCUGACACUCAGGAAGAAUUUGGACGAAAAUUGAUUAUAACUUGACUCAAGACACUUAAAAACACAAACUAAAUUGAUUUCUAACUAGUAUGACUCAACAAAGAAAAGGGGGAUUGAUUUUGGACGAAUUUAAAAACAAAACAAAACUUUGUAAACUAAAACAGAUUUUAAAACGAAUUUGGAUGAUUUUUGAAUGGAUGGAAGGCUAGCUAAGGGGUUCAUCUCCACACAUGUCACACUUGCAUAUAAAACGAUUUCCAAUUGCUUUUCAAUAAACCAUGAAUUCUCAACGCCCCAAGUUAAUUAGGUCCGCUUAAAUUAACCCUCAGAUUUUCCUUAAGUUAUUGAAUUGGAUGAAUUGCAUACGACAACCCAAAGCAUUCCCCACAAGUCCCCUACAUGACUGCAUAAUAGAGAUACAAGCAAGAAUCAUUAAGUUCUAUGAAAACCAUAAGCAUUGACGAAGCACUUGUUACUAUGAUUGCAUGAAACUUAUGCCAAGAAUUUACUUAACACGAUUGUGAUCAACAACCUUUACUACUUGUGAAUAUAAGUUCAUAACGAUUAGGUGAAAUUCCCUUAUAUCCUAGCAUCAAAUUCAUGCAUGCAAACUAAGUGUCGACCCUCAAUCAACAUACAAGAAUAAGUUUUAAUUCACAUAGAUAAGCAAAUUGAACUCACAACUUAUGAAACGCAAUUAGAAGUAAUCAAAUCAUAUAACAAGCAUAAACAUGGUUUCAAAUCCCCCCCUAGCCAAGGGGGGUUUAGUUCCUCAUACUCGCAAAUAAACAAAGAUAAAUAAAUUUAAACAUUAAAACAAAGAUAGAAAACACCUAGAAACGCUCCACAAUCCAAGCUCCUUGAAUGGCAUGCACGGCUCCAAGUUGUCUUCCUUCUUCUCCUUGCAAACUCACGGCACACAAGGUAUGUUUGGGUGAAUGGUGUAGUGAAAAUAUGGUAGAGGAUGGUGACUAAAUGGUGCAGCAAAGGGUGGUAUUUAUAGGCUGAAAUUCGCAGCCCCUAUGUAGCAAAGGAAAAGGAUUUAAAAGCCUAAUUUGUAUAGGAUAAUAACACACAAUCCUUGAAGGAAAAGGCUAAGGCUUUUAGAAACCAAAGGGGAAAGGAAUAAUCAGGUUUCUAGGAGUCCUAGAAAGGUUUGGGGCGUCACUUUUGUAGGAGAAGGGAUAAGGCCUUCUAGAAAGGUUAUUUUGUGGCUGAUUUCUAGAAAAACAAGGGAUAAGGUGUGGCACCUUUGUAGGAAAGGAUUAGGUCUUCUAGAAAUCCCAUUUUAAGCAUCCUAAUCUAGUUAGAAACCCUCCUAAGUGGCUGGAAUGUGGAUAAUUUAGGAUUAGGAUAAGAUAAGAUAGGAUAAGGUUUGUUUGGAUAAGAUAAGCUAAGAUAAGGUUAUGGAUGAGGUUUUGGAUAAGAUCCUUCUCUUGAGUUGAUUCUUUGGCUUUAAUUCUUCUUCUUCAUGUAGGAAUACUUGCUUGAGUAGGAAACUUCAUUCGUCUAGGAAUCCAUCUUCAAUUAGGACUCCUACAUUGAUUAGGAAUCCUUCUUCAUUUAGGAAUCCUUCGUUUAAGCCCUUUCCUACUUCAACUAGGAAACUUUGUAUAUUCAAUUCUUCAACUUUGAAACACCUUCCUAGCUUCAUCAAUUCCUCAAAUUCGUCCAUCCCUUGUGCUUCAUGUGCAUGAACUCCAUUCUAGCCCAAUUUUGCUCCAAAAUGCUCCAAAUUGCAUCCUUUUGCUCACUUUGUCUCUAAAACCUGAAAACACAUGAAAAUAGCUUAAAAGACUAAUUUAACCAAGAAAACACAACAUAAAUGCAUAAGAACUAACUAACUAAGGCGCAUAAAUAUGCUCCUAUCAAAUUCCCCCACACUUAGCUUUUGCUAGUCCUCGAGCAAAACAAAACGAGUAAACACAACCUAAACCUUCCAACAAUCGCCUCAGGGAUUUCCAAUGCACAUGACAUGUUAAAAAUCAUCAUUCCCACAGAUUUUAGCCAUCUUUACGCUUAAGCACAUACUUAAUCAUAGUCACUACUUAUUAGUUCACAAAUAACCAAUUAAAACGAUGUUUUGAAUGUAGUAACAUGCCUUAGAGAAUUUGCUCAAUUCCUUACUAGAUAUGCACUCAAUUUUCACACAGAAUUUCUGACUACACACCCUAUACUGGUUAUAUGUGAGAAGAUUGAUGUAAAUAUGAAAACGAAUGCUCACAUAUAUGUAUGACAAAGGAAGCACUUUCCGGAGUUAACAACAUGUUUAAAUAUGAUCUCAUGAAUGGAAUGCUACUACUUAGAUGCGAGAUCCAGGGAUAUCAUAUGCUCAUACCAAUUCCAAACUCCACAUAUUGAAACACAUAACAAUCAAGAUGGAAGCAAAGGGUUGUAACGGGGCUAAGGUAUUGGCUAACAAAGAAAGGUAAGGAUAAACAAACAUUCUUAAAGAAUAAUAAGCAAAGUAAUGAAAUUGAUACUUAGAAAUCACUUUUGCAUGCAAAAAAAAAAACGAUUUUGAAACACAAGGGGAAGACUCAUGCAACACUUAGGGCCAAAUUCAAGCUUUUUGGACCCUUUCUUCAACAACCAACCCACUUAGAGCUUAUUUUCUCAUCUUUUUCAACUCUUUCUCAUACUUUUCACAUUGUUUUCUUCAUUUUUUCUUUUUCUACGAAUUUGUCUCUUUUCUUUUUCUAACCCGUGCCCUUCUACUUCUUUUGGCACACAAAAUUUUCCUUCCCCCACACUUAGUUUUCUGCACAAUGUUGAUCAAAAGGAAUUCCCUCUAAGUCAUGCUUUAUUAUCCUUUAAGAACACGGGUAUGGAUAGUCCUAAUCUAGGCUAGGUAAGGAUAAUGUGGCUAACAACAAAAUAGGCUAAAUAAGGUUCAAAGGGGCUAAUCCUACAAAAACAAAUGCAUGGGUUGAAGGCUUUUUGGCUCUGGUGAUAACUACUAAGCAACUUCAUCUUGUUAGUUAUGCUAAUCAAUUUUUAUGCUUUGAAUGAAAUAGGUAUGAGUUCUAAUAUUUGGAUCUAUAAUGAUGACACGCCUUCUAAGUAGCAACCAAGCAAAGAAUGAUGAGAUCAUGCAACGACUUUAGAAAACAACAAAUUCACAGAUUAUUAACUCUCCAAAUAAACGUUUAGGCUCAAGUCUCACAGGGUUGUAGCGUUUGUUUGAGUUCCUUCCUUCAAGCAUGUUACAAAAACUGAUUUUUUUCUUUAUGAUUACAUGUGAAGUCAUAAGUUAUAACCACAACCAAGCAUAAACCAAAGAGUAAAUCAAACUUUCAUCCAUGUUUAUAACUCUCUUUAACAAUCAUGCAAUUACAAACCGAAUCCUCAUCAUUGUGUUGGAAGGUACCCUAAGACACAAACAAACACACAAAAACAACUUUAAACCGACUCUUUUUGGGUUUUUUCAAAACUUUUUCUAGUUUUUUGUCUAAAAACACUUAAAAACAAUGAAAAACAACCUUUGAAAUGUUAGGUGGUAAAAUCCUACGAAUUUGACACAAAAACACUUUGUUUACCCUCCCACACUUAAACCAAACAUUGUCCUCAAUGUUUCAAACAUAGACUCACACAAGAACAAGCAAAUAUCACAACUAGCAAACAUGACAAAUAUGGCAAAGUAAAAGCAAUAAAGAGUAGGGUUUAGAAACGCAAAUCUGAUUAUGACGCCGGAGCUUCCUAGGUCCUCUUUAUUUGCAUGGGUUGCCUCCCAAGAAGCGCUUGCUUUAACGUCUUCCAGCCGGACGAUGCUCCAUUGAAGGUUUAUGGAACCCCACAGCAUGGAGGGGUGUUUCCACAACCUGACCUACGAAAUACUUCAUUCUUUGGGUCCUUGAAUGGGAUGGGAUAAUGAUCCUUUCUAUUUGUCAUGUUUUGCUUCUCUAAAUCAACACGAACUCUCCCACUACGUUGUCUUCGAUUUGGUACCUGCACCAUACAAGGUAACAACCUAUUAGUUGAAAUGGGAAUCGAAAAUUGAAUAGGUGGCUUACCUUUGUACGGCAAAGAAGUGGUAGCACUAUGGACAAAUGCACAAGGGUUGCACUUGGGCAGAUUUGAUGAUUUCAAGGUUGGGGCCGUGCACUCUUUGUUGUUCACUCCGAUUCCUUCCUCGAUGGUGGGUUGUGGUACAUUCUUGUUGACUAGUGUUGAACAUUCCUGCCCUAUAUUAUCAAUUACAUUAAUAGCACAACAAGAACGAACAUCAUUAGUAUUCUCAACCGAUUCAGAAACCUUAAAGUUAAUCAUAUCACCACCAAAGGCCAUAGUUACUGCUCCCUUGGCCACGUCAAUCUUGGUUUGAGCUGUUUUCAUGAAAGGACGUCCAAGUAAGAGUGGUGAUGAUGGAGAUUGUACCGAAUCUUCCAUGUCAAGCACAUAAAAAUCUGCAGGAAAAAUCAAAUGGUCUACCUGCACUAAAACAUCCUCCAAAACUCCUUUCGGAUAUGCAUUAGAUCGAUCGGCUAAUUGAAUAAUAACACCAUCAUGUUUAAGCUCCCCUAGAUUCAUCGAUGCAUAAACAGAAUAUGGCAUGACAUUGAUUGAUGCACCUAAAUCUAGCAUAGCAUGAUCAAACCUCGCAUUGCCAAUAACACAAGGGAUAGUGAAACUACCUGGAUCUUUGCAUUUAGGUGGUAACUUUCUUUGCAACAAUGCAGAUACAUUCUCACUUACGUGUACCACCUCUUUCUCCCGAAUCCGAUUCCUUGUUGUGCAAAGCUUCUUCAAGAACUUAGCAUAUUUCGGGAUUUGCUUUAUUGCAUCGAGGAGUGGGAUGUUGACAUGCACCUUCCUAAACGUCUCCAGAAUGUCUUUUUCCUCCUCGUCGUUCUGGCUUGCAUCAACCUGCUAGGAAAGGGCACGUUUAGUGGAAUAGAACUUGAUUGGGUCGAAUUAUGACUUACCUUAGGUGUAGGACACGGCAAAGGUGCAAUAGGAGGCUGCGGCAUUGUUUUCUCCUUCCUUGCCGUGGUUGAGGUUUGGGGUUCUUCCUCAAACAGUAGCUUUUCAUCCUCUUUUUGACUUGAAUUGGAUGCUUGGGGUUCGGUUCCAACUUGUUUGCCACUCCUUAAUGUAAUUGCUUUGGCGGUUUCGAAUCCCCCUUUUGGAUUUGCAACGGUUGAACUAGGGAGUCUUCCUUGGUCUCGAAACUGUCCUACAAACUCCGCAAUUUGCCCAAUUUGUUUUUCCAAGUGAUCCACCCUUUUAGCUUGGCUUUGCAAUGCUGCGGCUUGAUUCUCUUGCCCCUGAGACAAAGUGUUAAGUAAUUUAAGAAUUGCAUCAUUAUCCAAGGACGUACCUGAAUUUGUUGGGGCAGAAUGUAUUUGAGUUUGAUUUGGUGCGAAUGGCUUUUGAUAGAAACCCGGGGGUUGUUGCCGAAAUGUGUUUUGUUGUUGGCCUUGUUGGGGUUCCCGCCAUUUGAAAUUCGGAUGAUCACGCCAACCGGGAUUGUAGUUGUUAGAAAAGGGAUCAUUCCUUUGUUGGUAUUGCUGCCCAAAGCCCACGGCAUUGAGGGUCUCCCACCCUCCGUUCUCGAUCAAUUGUGGGCAUGUGUCCGUAGGGUGUCCUUGCAUGGAACAUACGCCACACGCACUUACAUUUUGAACUUUUGGCCCUUCCACAACCUGAGAAAGCAAAGUAGUAAGGUUAGCCAUUUGGUUUUGAAGUUCGGUUAUGGCACUUACCUCGUUCACUUGGUGUUGCCGUGGGGUGCCUCUUUGGCCAACACCUUCGUAUUGUUGAGCGUUCAACGCUCGAUUAGCAAUCAAAGUCUUUGCUGCCGUGGGAGUCUUGUCCACCAAAGCUCCUCCCGCCGAGGCAUCUAGCAUUUGUCUUUCGAUUGGUAGAAGUCCCUCGUAGAAGUAUUGUAGAAGAAGCUCCUCCUUCAUUUGAUGCUGUGGACAAGAAGCAACAAGAGAUUUAAAACGUUCAUAAUAUGUAGGAAAAGACUCACCUUCUUCUUGUUGAAUUCCACUUAUCCUUUUUCGUAGGAGGAUGACUCGAGAAGUUGGGAAAAACUUCUCCAAGAAAGCUCGUUUCAUGCUCUCCCAAGAUGUGACCGUUCCGGGAGCUAAUUCGUACAACCAAUCUUUCGCCUUUUCCAUGAGAGAAAAGGGAAAGGCCUUCAUCUUCAAUAUACUCCCGUCGACAUUGAUUGGAGUCAUGCUUGAACACACCACCUCGAACUCUUUCAAGUGCUUGUUAGGAUCCUCCAUGGACAACCCAUGGUACUUCGGAAUAUGGUGUAGCAAACUUGACUUUAACUCGAAUUCCUCGGUCUUUCCUUGGGCAGCCGCCGGAUAUUGAAUACAUAGAGGUGCGGCAUUGUCUAAUCCCGAAGCCGAGAGCUCCUUGAUUGUACGAUUGUCUUGUGCCAUGACUGUCUCAACUUCACCCACUUGUGCCGUGGGUUCCUCUUCCUCAAUCUCAACUUCGGCUUCCGAAUUUGAACUUGAUUCACUAGGUUCUGGAUUCUUCCUCUUUCGUCUCAACUCUCGUUCAAAAUCGUCGUCAAAGUCCAAGAUGUGUUCAUGAACCGGAUGAGAGCUCCGAGUCAUAAACUAGUACCUAAAAACAAUAAACAAAAACAAAGUAAGAAUCUGGACACAAAUAAAACAAAUUGAAAUAAAACAAUCCAAGGGAUUAGCAACUUUGCUAAUCCCCGGCAACGGCGCCAAAAUUUGAUGUGAAAAUUAUGUUGACACACAAAUUAACCCUCUUUUUAUCGAUUGUAGUAAGUAUGUAAGUAGGGAUCGUUCUAGGCCGGGGAUUAGGAGGGAUUGCUAAAUCACUUGAAAACUGACUCAAAUACGUAAAAACAAGUUUAAAACACUAAACUAGACUCAAAGAAUGCAAAACUAAACUUUAAAACACCAAAACAAACAAAAAGACUCAAAACAGCAAACAAACACUCAAAACUGCCUUAAAACACUUUCUGGGUAGUUUCUGACACUCAGGAAGAAUUUGGACGAAAAUUGAUUAUAACUUGACUCAAGACACUUAAAAACACAAACUAAAUUGAUUUCUAACUAGUAUGACUCAACAAAGAAAAGGGGGAUUGAUUUUGGACGAAUUUAAAAACAAAACAAAACUUUGUAAACUAAAACAGAUUUUAAAACGAAUUUGGAUGAUUUGAAUGGAUGGAAGGCUAGCUAAGGGGUUCAUCUCCACACAUGUCACACUUGCAUAUAAAACGAUUUCCAAUUGCUUUUCAAUAAACCAUGAAUUCUCAACGCCCCAAGUUAAUUAGGUCCGCUUAAAUUAACCCUCAGAUUUUCCUUAAGUUAUUGAAUUGGAUGAAUUGCAUACGACAACCCAAAGCAUUCCCCACAAGUCCCCUACAUGACUGCAUAAUAGAGAUACAAGCAAGAAUCAUUAAGUUCUAUGAAAACCAUAAGCAUUGACGAAGCACUUGUUACUAUGAUUGCAUGAAACUUAUGCCAAGAAUUUACUUAACACGAUUGUGAUCAACAACCUUUACUACUUGUGAAUAUAAGUUCAUAACGAUUAGGUGAAAUUCCCUUAUAUCCUAGCAUCAAAUUCAUGCAUGCAAACUAAGUGUCGACCCUCAAUCAACAUACAAGAAUAAGUUUUAAUUCACAUAGAUAAGCAAAUUGAACUCACAACUUAUGAAACGCAAUUAGAAGUAAUCAAAUCAUAUAUAACAAGCAUUAAACAUGGUUUCAAAUCCCCCCCUAGCCAAGGGGGGUUUAGUUCCUCAUACUCGCAAAUAAACAAAGAUAAAUAAAUUUAAACAUUAAAACAAAGAUAGAAAACACCUAGAAACGCUCCACAAUCCAAGCUCCUUGAAUGGCAUGCACGGCUCCAAGUUGUCUUCCUUCUUCUCCUUGCAAACUCACGGCACACAAGGUAUGUUUGGGUGAAUGGUGUAGUGAAAAUAUGGUAGAGGAUGGUGACUAAAUGGUGCAGCAAAGGGUGGUAUUUAUAGGCUGAAAUUCGCAGCCCCUAUGUAGCAAAGGAAAAGGAUUUAAAAGCCUAAUUUGUAUAGGAUAAUAACACACAAUCCUUGAAGGAAAAGGCUAAGGCUUUUAGAAACCAAGGGGGAAAGGAAUAAUCAGGUUUCUAGGAGUCCUAGAAAGGUUUGGGGCGUCACUUUUGUAGGAGAAGGGAUAAGGCCUUCUAGAAAGGUUAUUUUGUGGCUGAUUUCUAGAAAAACAAGGGAUAAGGUGUGGCACCUUUGUAGGAAAGGAUUAGGUCUUCUAGAAAUCCCAUUUUAAGCAUCCUAAUCUAGUUAGAAACCCUCCUAAGUGGCUGGAAUGUGGAUAAUUUAGGAUUAGGAUAAGAUAAGAUAGGAUAAGGUUUGUUUGGAUAAGAUAAGCUAAGAUAAGGUUAUGGAUGAGGUUUUGGAUAAGAUCCUUCUCUUGAGUUGAUUCUUUGGCUUUAAUUCUUCUUCUUCAUGUAGGAAUACUUGCUUGAGUAGGAAACUUCAUUCGUCUAGGAAUCCAUCUUCAAUUAGGACUCCUACAUUGAUUAGGAAUCCUUCUUCAUUUAGGAAUCCUUCGUUUAAGCCCUUUCCUACUUCAACUAGGAAACUUUGUAUAUUCAAUUCUUCAACUUUGAAACACCUUCCUAGCUUCAUCAAUUCCUCAAAUUCGUCCAUCCCUUGUGCUUCAUGUGCAUGAACUCCAUUCUAGCCCAAUUUUGCUCCAAAAUGCUCCAAAUUGCAUCCUUUUGCUCACUUUGUCUCUAAAACCUGAAAACACAUGAAAAUAGCUUAAAAGACUAAUUUAACCAAGAAAACACAACAUAAAUGCAUAAGAACUAACUAACUAAGGCGCAUAAAUAUGCUCCUAUCACCACACCCCAUAUGGGGCCCAAAACCCACAAACCCAAACCAUGCCCAUUGAUAGGAGCAUAUUUAUGCGCCUUAGUUAGUUAGUUCUUAUGCAUUUAUGUCGUGUUUUCUUAGUUAAGUUAGUCUUUUAAGCUAUUUUCAUGUGUUUUCAGGUUCUAAGGACAAAGUAAGCAAAAAGAUGCAAUUUGGAGCAUUUUGGAGCAAAAUUGAGCUAG
Molecule: long non-coding RNA, 9521 nt
Filed under: Malus domestica (apple)
Lineage: Eukaryota; Viridiplantae; Streptophyta; Magnoliopsida; Rosales; Rosaceae
Description: long non-coding RNA (MDOM_LNC008266)
Source: RNAcentral